GAUGAAGAACGCAGCGAAAUGCGAUAAGUAGUGUGAAUUGCAGAAUUCAGUGAAUCAUCGAAUCUUUGAACGCACAUUGCGCCCCUUGGUAUUCCAUGGGACAUGCCUGUUCGAGCGUCAUUUGUACCUUCAAGCUUUGCUUGGUGUUGGGUGUUUGUCUCGCCUUUGCGUGUAGACUCGCCUUAAAAUAAUUGGCAGCCGGCGUAUUGAUUUCGGAGCGCAGUACAUCUCGCGCUUUGCACUCAUAACGACAGCGUCCAAAAGUACAUUUUACACUCUUGACCUCGGAUCAGGUAGGGAUACCCGCUGAACUUAAGCAUAUCAAUAAGCGGAGGA
RNAcentral lists this unclassified non-coding RNA (336 nucleotides) under soil metagenome. Its description in RNAcentral is "partial contains 5.8S ribosomal RNA, internal transcribed spacer 2, and large subunit ribosomal RNA". The stretch from base 1 to 120 matches the Rfam family "5.8S ribosomal RNA", at positions 35 to 154 of the family's 154-position model. The record is from RNAcentral.